Molecule: ribosomal RNA, 437 nt
Filed under: uncultured bacterium
Lineage: Bacteria
Description: partial 16S ribosomal RNA
Rfam family: Bacterial small subunit ribosomal RNA
Source: RNAcentral
GAUGAACGCUGGCGGCAUGCCUUACACAUGCAAGUCGGACGGGAAGUGGUGUUUCCAGUGGCGGUCGGGUGAGUAACGCGUAAGAACCUGCCCUGGGGAGGGGAACAACAUCUGGAAACGGCUGCUAAUACCCCGCAGGCUGAGGAGCGAAAGGAGGAAUCCGCCCAAGGAGGGGCUCGCGUCUGAUUAGCUAGCUGGUGCAGUAAUAGCUUACCAAGGCCGUGAUCAGUAGCUGGUCCGAGAGGGCGAUCAGCCACACUGGGACGGAGACAAGGACCAGGGUCCUUCGGGAGACAGCAGUAGGGAAGUUUCCGCAAUGGGGGAAAGCCUGACAGAGCAAUGCGGCCGGAAGGCAAAGGGACUACGGGUCAUGAAAUGCGUUACCUGGAGAAGAAAUAAUGACGGUAUCUGGGGAAUAAGCAUCGGCUAACUCCGUG